Molecule: long non-coding RNA, 365 nt
Filed under: Homo sapiens (human)
Lineage: Eukaryota; Metazoa; Chordata; Mammalia; Primates; Hominidae
Description: non-protein coding SRGAP3-AS4:3
Source: RNAcentral
CUCACUGCAAGCAAAAAGGGGAAGAAACGCUCACAAAAGGGAAGGCAGCAGGAAAAGUAAUCGGGUUGCUGUGGAAAUGUGUUCUUCAACGUUGGAGGUGGGAUCUGGUGGGCAGUGUUUGGAUCAUGGGGAUGGAUCCCUCAGGAAUGGCUUGGUGUCCACCCCACGGUAAUGGGUUCACAAGAGAUCUGGUUGAUGAAGAGUCUGGGACCUCGCUCCUCUUCCUUGCUUCCUCACUCACCAUGUGAUAUGCCUGCACCUUCCACCAUGAUUGGAAGCUUCCUGAGGCCUCAUCAGAAGCCAAGCAGAUGCUGGUGUUAUGCUGGUAUAGCCUGCAGAACCAUGAGCCAAAUAAAACUUUUUUU